GACAAUGAAUUAAUGGAUUGGUUCCAUUUGAUUUGGCGUAUAAAACACGAGUAACGAAGUUAUGGCGAAAUUUACGAGAUUAGGCGAUAAUCGUUGAAAUCAUAGAACUCUCGGAUUAGUAGUCAAAACUUGUCGUUUAAUUCAGAAACCCUAGUUUUCGAUGGCGUAACAUAGACCAACGUAUUUAAGAGUCGUGGACUCAAGAAUGGUCGAAUUCCGACUUAGAACGAAGAAAACGAG
This 240-nucleotide long non-coding RNA is filed under the name Panax ginseng (ginseng). RNAcentral's name for it is "long non-coding RNA (PGIN_LNC009128)". The record is from RNAcentral. Lineage: Eukaryota; Viridiplantae; Streptophyta; Magnoliopsida; Apiales; Araliaceae.